UGAGGCUUGGCUCUGUUCUGCUCGUGGGCGAUGGCGAGUCUGCAUUUUGGAGUCAGGAUCUGUGGCUUAGAGGCAACCACUCACCUUAGCUCCAUCUUGGGAAGCGGGAGGUCAGUCCUCAAGCAGGGGUCAGACCUUUCCUGUGCAUCUAAAUGUGGGGAUGUGCGACGGUGAGAGGGACGAGGAUCGGGGAGAGAAUGAAGUCUCCAGACUUGUAUAAAAUAUAAAUCCCUUUUUGGAGGCCUUGUCGGGUGCAUGUGGAUGUGGAGAAAUGUCAGAUGCAGAUGGUGCUGUGGACCGUUGGACCAGUUUUCCAGAGCUGAGGGACCUUGUGGCCUUGGGUGAGGAAGCUGAGGAGGCCCAGAGAGGGGCGACAGCUUGCCAUGGUCACACAGCAGGAAAGCAGUGAGGAGUCACUCCGCCAAGGUCUCUUAAAGGAGAAGGCUGUGUUAUUUCCCGAGCUGCUUCCUGCGUGGUGCAACCGAGCUGAGAGCCGGAGCCGACUUUGGAAGGCUCAUCCUCCAACCCACUCUCCCGUCGGUGGAAAGGUUUAUAGGAAACAAAGGCUCAGAGAGGCAAAGUGAUUACCCAAGGUCACACAGCUGGAACGCAAUGAAGCCAGGACAUGAACCUGCUCCUAGGGCCCUCCUGUUUUCCAUCCCACGGCCAGUCGUCUCAACCAAGAAGGUCUCAGAGUCAGUCUACACAGAGAGAACACGCCUCCGUCACAUCCACUCCUCUCCCAUGUCCGUCCACGGCCUGGGCACGUCAGAUUUGGGGUCCCACCGUCUCGGAUCCCACGCUUCUGGUGUGCUUGGGAACGGAAGGUGUUUGGGGACAAGCCGGGUAGGAGGCCCGGCUGCCGAAACAAAGAGAGAGAAGGCAAGUUCAGGGGCGCGAGCUAGGGCGGGGGGCGCCCACUGCUUCUUUCUGCAGCCUCCCGAGUCAGCGGGUGGCUCGCACACACACGGUGCCGGGGUUUAAGCCCUGUUUCUAACCACGUGCAUGUAGUUAAUCUCUCCGAGCCUCAGUGUUUAUGAAACAGGAAUAAUAAAAAUGCCCACCCAUACAGUUGCGUGAUUAAAUGGCGUGAUGCGCGAGGACAGCUAUGCCUGUGCCCGGCUCACGGUAAGGACUCGGCGAAUGUGCAAUGUGAAGGUAUGGAUAUUGUAAGUCAGCAAACAGAUGUUGCAUUCUGAGUCUAUGGUAGGAGUCAUUUCCAUGUAUCUCACUUAAAAAAAAUCACAAUAACCCUGGUGGGGGGGGGGUGUUGUUAUUAUCUUUACUUUGUAGAUAAGGAAGCCUAGACUUAGGAAGAAGAGUGGCAGAGCCAAGUGAAUCCCCCGGAGUUUGCCAAAUCCGCCAGUGGGGUCUCCCUGCCACACUCACCUGAGCCCAGGUUCAGGGCCUGCUGAGACCCACAGCACAACGAAGCCAGGUCUGACUGGAGGGUGGACCUCCGGGAGCUCAGCUGGGUAGUGCGAGGCCUCGUGUCAGCCAAUGGCAGCAGGUUUUACUGAUGCUUCUGGAGGGCCCACCCUCUGGAAAUGCAAGCCCGUUGGUUCCCAGGACUGGAAGCCUCAAGCACGUGUGGCCCUAGACCUCAAAGAGGGUUUGGCUGCUGUGGCUUCUCUGGCAACAAAAGCUGUUGAUUUGUUUUUUGAGCCGAGUGGCUAGUUGAGGGCACCAGCCACAACCUGCUAUUAGGAGCUCCUCACUGCGGUCUGCGUGGAGCGCUCAGGGAAGAGCCCCCGUGUGUCCUGGGAUCCCACGGUCUCUUGUUUCUUCCCUCUUGGUUGGCAUGUGGCUGGGGCAGGGGACACCCUGGGGAUUUCGGCGUGAGUCUCUCUCCCUCACAGGACUGUGCAGAGCUCUCCUGAAGCUGUGGGACCAACCACAUCUGAGGAGUCCUCACUCCCAGACCCCUGCCCUUUUAGGUCCUCGGUGUUUCCAAACACUUCUUCAGGACCCGUUCCUGGAGAACUUUCUGUAGAUAUGGAUGCAAAUACAGAAGGGUGGGCCCCAAAGCACUUCUGGUGAUUGAAUGUGCUGCCUCUGUGCAUUGCUUUGUCUCUCUCUGUCCACCCCUCACCAGAACGGAUGCUUCCCAGCUUGGGAUCUUGCCUCUCUUGUCCUCUGAUAUAUCCUCAGUGCCUAGAACACGGUGCUCUACAACAGCACAGAGCAGGGGAGCCACUAUUGAUCCAUGGGUGUGCCCUGGCAACUGGUACAGGGUCUUGUGCUCAGUGUCUGCUUCAUCAGGAGCUGGACCCAAUCACCCACUAAAUGGUCAUUUGUUAAUUAACUAAGGGAUGAAUACUGGAAGUAGACUGGUGAGGAAAAAACAAGAUUCGGUUCCAGCCUUCCUGGACUUGCUAGGGGGUAAGAUAGUAAGAGUCACGUAAACGAAAGGGAAAAUUAUAAUUUUGAUAUGGACUUUAAAGGGGAGCGUGGGACCCUGAUUGCAAAAAUGGCCCCAAUUCCCUGCCCUUCCCCGCACAGUGUGACUUUCCCCAGGAUGAAGUGGAAACUCUCCCCACCUCUCGCAUGUGGGGUGGCCCGGGAUUUGCUUGGGCCAAUGGGGUGCAGUGAAAGUGGAGCUGUGGCAGUUCCGAGGCCAGGCCUCAAGAAGCCUUGCUGGCAUCUGCUGCCAUCAUGAGAACGUGCCCAGGCAAGCCUGCUGCAGAUAAGAGACUGUGGAACGUAGUGGAGUUGUACCAGGGGAGCCGGCCUCCAGCCUGAUCACAGAUACAAGGGCCAGCCCACCUGAGCCUGGCCCAGAGUGGUGGAACUGUCAGCCUUCUUACAGACUUGUAGAAGUAAUCCAUGGUGGGUGUGUGAAGCUUUGGGGUGAUUUUGUCAAGCAGCAUUACCAUGGCAAUACAUGCCUGAUACAGGGAGAUCCGUGAGAAUGUAUAAUCAGGGAAUGUGGCCAGUCUGGGAGGUCAGGUAGGGCUUCCCUGAGCAAACAGAGACUGAGCUGGGACCUGCUGGCAGAGUGGAGUAGGUGUUAGCUAGGUGAAGGGAUGGGGAGAGAAUUCCAUGAAGAGAGUGCUGUGUGUGCAAAGGCCCAGUGGUGGGAGGAGCACGACCCAUUCAGAAACUGAGGCGCUCAGUGUGGUGGCGGCAGCAGCAGGAAGAUUGGCCCCCCUUUUCAGGCCCGGAUAAAUAAGCCUUUUCAUUUCCAGGGAACUCGACAUCCCACUUAUCAUGAGCAAUGCUAAUGAUGCCAUGCUCUUCACCCUGAUGUUUGCAUAGGACAGGCCCUAAGGGACUCUGCUUUCAUGGGUCCCAGGGGAACCAAGUGGGUGACCCUCAAUGGCAGGGCUGAAAGUGUUCUUAGAGGCUGUGUGGCCCAACCUGUCCUUUAAUGACUGGGAAGCGGGGGCCUGGAGAGGGAAUGUGGCCGGCCUCGGGUGCUCCAGGGCGGGCCAGGGGUGUGCCAAGAGUCACACCAUCCCUCUCAGACGUGAUCUCUCCUGUGACCGGGUGAACCCUCCAGCCCUGUGAGCUCGAGGAAGGGUUCAGAGAAACAGCAACAGCAGUUGUAGAUUUAUAGAGAGGACGGACGACUCCCCUUCAGAAACCUGCUGUGUGUCUGAUGCACUGUAAGGAGCUUUAUGAAGAUCGUUUCAUUUAAUUCUCUUAGCAACUAUGGGGUGGGAGCUCAUAUUGUUACAUUAUUUUAUUCCUGUGAUACACGAGGAGACUGAAAUUCAGAGCGAUGAAAUCAUUUGCUUAGGUUUACACGGCCUUCGAGUUACAAGGGUUUCUCUGAUUCCAAAGGCCACGUUUUUCCCACCCCAACACGCUGCCUCUGUGAACCUAAUUCCUUUCUGAUGGACUUGUUGGAUUCCAGUUGGUUGUGAGGGCCAUCAGGUGUGGCAGGUAUUUACUAAUUUUUGGCCAGCUGGUACUCAACCCUGAUCUCUCCUUUGGAGGAGUUUGUCACUGGGGACAGUCAUGGGGUGACAGCCAUUCCCUUGGACUCUUCUCCCUACUCAAGGGCCCUGCCUAAGCAGGCAGAAGUCAACAGUUACACAAAACCCCCCAAAAUCCUCCCAGUUGGUUCCUGCGUCCCACGGCCCAGGAAAUGUACAUGAGUCACUGAACCACCAACUCUCUGGGGCCCCCCACCUGGUGGGGGAUUAGCUCUUGUAGUUUAGAUGAAAGAAGGACAAGAGAAUCUUCCUAGUGGACAAAUUACCCGUGUGUAAUUGGGUAUCAUUGGGACCAGGUGGCGGAGUGUAUAUUAUGAAGCCCAAACUGUUGUGAGACUUUUCGUUUCCAGAGUUGGACCAGUGGAGCUCAAUCCAGUUCAGCUUGACUCAACUCAACUGAGCUCAUCACAACUAAGUUCAGCUCAAUGCAGGUCAACUCAUCUUGACUUAGCUCAGUGCACAUCAGCUCCGCUCAACGCAGUGCUCAGAGUGGAUCAUCUCUGCUCAAUGGACCCACCUUGACUCGACUCAGUGCAGCUCAACUCAACACAACUCAGCUGUACUAGGCUUGCUUGGUUCAACUCCACUUAACUCAACUCAGCUCAACUGGGAACGGCUACAUUCAGUCAAUUAGGGAGGCAUUAACCGAGUAUCAAGGUUAGAGGCUCAUGUGGUUGAUUCCUCCAGGAACACAUACUUUAGUCAUUAAAAUAAGGAGUUUGGAUAUGAAGAAUGUAGAUAGUAAUAUACAAGCAAAGACUUUAAAGCUCAAUGGAAGGAACAGCUACUUCUCACUGGUGAAGGCUUCUUGAAAGUCAUAUUAUUUCAGCCCCACAGCUGGCACUCAGGAGCUGGAGUGUGGUAUGAUUCAAGCUAUAUUUUCACACCAUAAAUGUUGGGAGAACAGAGGAUGGGUGGGAAGGGAUGAGGCAGGAAGACUAGGUAGGAGAGAAGAGUAUCUGGGAAUCCAGGGCCCCAGGGAUGAUGGAGAGAGGAAGUGUUGGCUAAAUACUCAUCUAUAAGUUCCCACCAAAUGUCAUGCAGAAUCUACAGGGCAUUUAACAGCCUUGGAAGAUUAUGGUCUCGUCUUUCUAAGUCUCUUACAUUCUAAAACCUCAAGUUCUUCAUCUGCAAUUAUGGAAUUUAUAGUACUAUUCCCCCUAAGGAUUGUGAAAAUUCAAUUGGUAUACAAGUGCUUAAAAAGUCAAGUAUUUUUGAACUUAAGAAAAAUAUGGAGAGUAAUAUAACUAAUACUCAUGCACCCACUACCUAGAAUAAAUAAAUAUUAAUGUUUUGUUAAGUUGGCUUUGGCUUUUUUGUUUCUUUUGGAAGCAAAGUCCUUGACAGUUGUGUUGACAUUCCACUAUACCCCUCUCCAAAUCUGUCCUUCUCACUCCCUGCCUGAGACACCAUUUCUGGAAUGGGAUGUGUCCUUUCCUGUAUUUUUACUACACAUAAACAUAUCCCUAAAUAAUAAAUGGUAUUGUUUGUGUGUUUUAAACCUGUAUAUAAACGGC
Equus caballus (horse) is the source of this 5458-nucleotide long non-coding RNA. NCBI's taxonomy places the organism in Eukaryota, Metazoa, Chordata, Mammalia, Perissodactyla, Equidae. The record is from Ensembl.